Molecule: long non-coding RNA, 3876 nt
Filed under: Nicotiana benthamiana
Lineage: Eukaryota; Viridiplantae; Streptophyta; Magnoliopsida; Solanales; Solanaceae
Description: long non-coding RNA (NBEN_LNC040775)
Source: RNAcentral
CCUUAUAAUAUGCGGUAUCAAGGAACUGGUAGAAAGUUUUCACUUAAUAAAAAUGAAAAUAUUAAUACACACAGAAAAUGACACUGCUUAUUAUAAUAGUGAUAUAUUCAUUUGUCUAUUAUGACAUUGGUUACGCAAAAUUCUGCGUAUGCUACUAUUUAAAUGAACUACAAUCUCCUAAAAUAUAUCCUUUCAUCCCCUCGAUAUGAUCAGGUGUGAAGCAACUUAACGAUCCAAUGAAUUCCCUAAAAUCGGAUAUAUAUCUGUUGAUUCACUUCCCUCAACAAAGAGAAUUUCCAACAUAUUUCAUAAUUUUUCGGAGAAAUUUAUAGCAUCCAUCUAGUAAUGUUUUUCAAAAAAAUUCAAAAACCAGAGUUGUUCAAGGGUUGAAGUUUGGAUCAUGAGUAAACACAGGUUAAAUGAUAAAAAGAGAAUUCUUAGAUCAUAUACAUAACAAGAACAUUUAUACACAACUGGAACUAGUAUAAAAUAAGCUAAUAUUCUUUGAUAUAUACUACAAUUAGUAUUAAUUAAUACAUCCAAAAUGGUUUUAACAAGGAGCAAAACGGUCCAUAAGCAAGAACACAGUUGAUUCACACAUUGUGUUUUCGUUCUUUGUCUCUGCAAUUGAAGAAGAAUUCUGGCUAUUUUUGCUUUCUUCAAUUUUAUCCCCUGAAUUUUUCUUCUUCUGGGAUUUCAACAAGAAAAGGCUUCUGGCUCUGACUUUUUCACUUAGCUUUGUAAUUUCACACACACAAGCAUCAAAUACUGUUGCCAUUUUCUUUUUUUUGGGCAAAGUUUCUCUCUUUUUCUUUUCUCUUAGCUUAUGUAAGUAGUCUUGAAAAUAUAUAAAGGGUCUCUUUAUAUAGUAUGAAAUCAGAAGCAUAGGUGGGGUAGGGGGAUGGGCGGUGGGGGUGGUACUGGUGGAGUUUAGUGGUGUUAAAAAAAUCUAUUGGCAGAUGCCCCUAGAUACACGGAUUUAGUAUAAUUUAUUAGAAUAUUCUCAACUUUUAUAGUACCUUAUUUUGAGGGUAUAUGCAAUACUUGUUAUGAAUAUUCAAAAGCCAGCUAACUAUGAUUAUAUCAACAAUAACAACUCAAUAAAAUUUUAUAAGUAGAGUCUGGGUAACCCUAUAAAUGUGAGUUUCACAAAAUAUAGACGGUUCUAAGUUCGAAUAUUGAGGAUAGUAAAUUGGCAAUCAGCAUAAAAUUAAGUAAAAAUAGUCCGCGCUAGUCAGUUAUUGAAAUAGUAAUUGAAAAAUAGCUAGCAUUUAUGGAGACAUUGAAAAAUAGCCACUGUUUUGCUGAAAUACGAAAAGCUCCAGCAUAAUAUGUUGGAUUGUAAAGGUCCUGCGUAUAAACUUCCAGCAUAUUGUGUUGUAACUCCGUUCCAGCAUAAUAUGCAGGAUUAUGGAGCUCCUACAUAUAAACUUUCAGCAUAUUAUGAUGAAACUCCAGCACAUUAUAAAAUUCUAGCAUAUUAAGUUGGAAACUCAUAUGUAAACAAUUCGAAGUCCAGCAUAGUAUGCUGGAAUUUUUCCGAAAUUUUAAGAGUAUUUUUAUUCAGAUUUUAUCUUUAUAUGAAAAAUGACUAAAUUUCAAUUAUUUUUUAAACUAUGACUAUUUUUCAAUUACCAGUUGGAAAUAUAGCUAUUUCUGAUUUCUUUUUUCUUCCUAAAAUCAAUUGAGACAUACUAGUUAACUGAUUUUUUUUUCAAAAAAUCGAGCCAAAUAAUGUAAUUAUUGCAAAGAUCUGAAAUGAUAAAACAUGGAAAAUUUUGAGAAAUUAUAAAGAAGCUGACUAGUUUGUUAGUAGUUAUUUGGCUUAGGACCACAAAUGAAUUCAAAGUCUUUUGUAUUAUUACGUAGAAAGCAAGUUCUAAAUAGUUGACAAAACAGUGUUCCAUUCUGGCCCAAAGAAACAAAGCAUUUCUGCAGGCGCUGCUACUGGUAUUGCCUUCAACCACGUGAUUUGUGGGCUUUUAACUUUGUUUUUAUUUUAUUUAUCUUUUGGAAUUUUUAAUUGAAUUUAAUUUUUUGAAUUCUGAAAAACACGAAAACGAAUAGAAUCUUUAAUGAUACUGGGAAUUUUCCCAUCCAAUUAGCCAAUGCUACGCGUAUUAGGUUACAUUUAAAUGAUGUAACGGGCAAAAGUCAAUUUUUUUUUCAAUAAUAAAUGUGAAUAUUAUUAUAACAAUCAAAACAGUUUUAUAUCCUACGAUCCUCUAGUGUCUAAAAUGGACCCAGAUUCUAGAUCUCCAGACAAAACAGCACAUCUAGUUACAUAGCUUCUUAAUCCUAGCUCUCUUUUUCCUAUACAAUGUCUCCAAUCUAUCUACAAUCUUUUUCCUAAUUUGUUCAUAUACAAGGUCUAUGUUUACAUUUACUUUCCUAAAGAUUUUCCAGUUUCCUGCUUUUCAAGUUUAGCACAGCAUGACACCCCAUACAACAACUAUUUCCUUUUGGACUUGGCUCCAUCGUCUCCUUUUGAUCCGUUUGAUCAUCUCACUUGCUUCACUGUUGUGAAUUUUGAUGCACAUCCAACUGCUCAGCUUAUCCCUUAGGUUUGCUAUCCACUUGCAUUGUCCAAAGAGAUGUGUGUAUGGGUCAGAAUAUGACUCCGUGAUAAUUAAUGAAAUUAAUUAUAUCUUAAGCUAAUUCUCAAUUAAUAAGUGGAAUGACCACUUAUUAACCAUGAUACCCGGUAGUCAUCCGGCUCGAUCAGCAAGUUUACGACCCAUCCGCCAUUACAAGGACGGGACAUCAAUGCGGUCACGGCCACCUAUCGCUAGUUCAUAAACCUUACAGCUAUAAAUACCAAGAGAAGGAACCCUAGAAGGGGAGGGGGGAGGGGGGCUUCUUUUAUGCUUGCAAAGUAUUCGAUAACUUUGAGCUAAACAAUUUGGCGCCGUCUGUGGAGAUUUCAUAGUAGAAUCGUGUAGUUCUUCCCUGGACCAAAAGGAAAGAAACACCAGAGAACACCCCAGCUCAAACAAGCUAGCGAGGUAUAUCGGAGAAAGAGAACUCGAAGAUCUUGAAUCGAGACCCAACCUCUCUGUCACUCCAGCCUACAUAUCCCGGUUGGGAAGAUAGCGCGUGAGCUGCUCAAGAUCUCGAAUCAAAAUCGAGCUCCAGCCCUAUAACACUGACAUAACGAGGUCCAGGCUAUGUGCCUUUGCCAUAAAAAAUAAAGGUUCAACUACGAGUUGAACUGGGACUCCGGCUAUGCGCCUUCGCCAUAAAAAAUAAAGGUUCAACUACGAGUUGAACUGGGAAUCAAGCUAUGCUCUUUCGCCAUAAAAAAUAAAGGUUCAACUAUGAGUUGAACUGGGACUCAAGCUAUGCACCUUCGCCAUCAAAAAUAAAAGUUCGACUACGAGUCGAACUGGGACUCAGGCUAUGCGCCCUCGCCAUAAAAAAUAAAGGUUCAACUACGAGUUGAAUUGGGACUCAGGCUAUGUGCCUUCGCCAUAAAAAAUAAGGGUUCAACUACGAGUUGAACUGGGACUCUCGCUAUUCAAGUAAGUACUCCAAACUUGAACUACGACUUGGGCCACGUAAAUUCGGCCCCGAUCAAAUUAUAAGGCCGCGUUUUUUACCAUCACAGCCGGUAGUUCGAUCGCGCCCGAACUGAGACUAAGGCUAAGUUUCGCUAUUGCCAAAUAAUGGCUACAACUCGCACAUACCGAGUCGAAGAAGUAUGACCGUUAACAAACAAAAGUCAACACGCCUACCAGAGUCGUACUCUAAGGCAAAUCACCCCGAACACAUACAAUAGAAAAAUCUAAAGAAGAAGAAGGGAAAACAUAAAAUAAGCACAACGCCCACUUACACUCUGCCAGGGCCGAUCAGUACGAAGGAAAGUAAAAAGAAAAA